CCCUUAGAUGUCCUGGGCUGCACGCGCGCUACACUGAUGUGUCCAGUAAGCACCUAACCUCUUCCGAAAGGAACGGGUAACCUUUGCAAAGCACAUCGUGAUGGGGAUAGAUUAUUGCAAUUAUUAGUCUUGAACGAGGAAUUCCUAGUAAGCACAAGUCAUCAGCUUGUGUUGAUUACGUCCCUGCCCUUUGUACACACCGCCCAUCGCUCCUACCGAUUGAAUGUUCCGGUGAGCUCUUCGGACUGCGCGGUCUGCAGUUUCUGCGUUCCGUGCGGAAAGUUGCGCAAACCUUAACAUUUAGAGGAAGGAGAAGUCGUAACA
RNAcentral lists this ribosomal RNA (324 nucleotides) under uncultured eukaryote. RNAcentral's name for it is "partial 18S ribosomal RNA". It matches the Rfam family "Eukaryotic small subunit ribosomal RNA", at positions 1470 to 1796 of the family's 1831-position model. The record is from RNAcentral.